UACGGGGGGGGCAAGCGUUGUUCGGAAUUACUGGGCGUAAAGGGCUCGUAGGUGGCCAACUAAGUCAGACGUGAAAUCCCUCGGCUUAACCGGGGAACUGCGUCUGAUACUGGAUGGCUAGAGAUUGGGAGAGGGAUGCGGAAUUCCAGGUGUAGCGGUGAAAUGCGUAGAUAUCUGGAGGAACACCGGUGGCGAAGGCGGCAUCCUGGACCAACACUGACGCUGAAGAGCGAAAGCCAGGGGAGCAAACGGG
Molecule: ribosomal RNA, 253 nt
Filed under: uncultured bacterium
Lineage: Bacteria
Description: partial 16S ribosomal RNA
Rfam family: Bacterial small subunit ribosomal RNA
Source: RNAcentral